RNAcentral lists this unclassified non-coding RNA (3043 nucleotides) under Mizuhopecten yessoensis (Yesso scallop). RNAcentral describes it as "aftiphilin-like, transcript variant X2". The record is from RNAcentral. Lineage: Eukaryota; Metazoa; Mollusca; Bivalvia; Pectinida; Pectinidae.
CUGGGAAAUUAUCCACUAUGGCAGCUGUUUUGUGUCGUGUUCACAGUUGACAUGCAAAGGGCUAGGGCUAGCUGCAGCUGCUGUCAAAGAAAUGUGCACCAUGUGAACGUUAGCCAGUUAUUUUUGAAGAGUUGUGACUGACAGCCAAGAUGACCAACUUUAUCCCCAUGGUAUCAUCGUCGCCUCCUCCUCUAGAAGAUGGGGGAGGAGGAGGGUUCAAUGAGUGGGACGAUGAAGAUGAUGACUUUGGAACAUUUGCAACUGCUACAAACGGAAAUGAUUUCCAGGCCUUUUCUGAUCAGUCAUCAGCUGAUCAAUGGAAUAACAUUCCUGAUAUGCCAUCUGUACCUCCAAAUUGUGAAUUCGGAAAAUUUGCAGAUUUUAGCAAUUUUGAAAGUGACUCAAAGAUAGACUGUAUGCAAAAUGGUGACAUGACUCCAGAGGCAGUGGAUAAUGACACGCUCAGUAACGAUUCCAAAGAAGGAGAUAACGAAGAUAAAGGUGAUAGUUCCAAUAAAUCAGGUGGUAUGAAAUUGUCCUUAAAAACGGUGAAUGACUUUGUAAAUAAUGACAAUGUACAAGAAAGCCCAGUAAUGCCUUGUGAUGACAGUGAUCAGCAGAAAAAAAUGCACAAAAGUCAGUCAGACAAUCUGGACAGCAUCAGUAGUGUGAUAUCUGCAGGGGACUCGGGACUGUGUAGUACUGACAUAUCACCCGUCCCUCAGUCAGACGACAAUGUCGGACCAGAGGACAACAGUCAGGAAUCUGAUCCCGAUGACUUUGGCGAUUUCCAUUCUGAUUCCUCUGUAGGGAAAGAGGCCUUAAGAGGCAGCACAGAAAACAUGGAAGUGAUAGAAGAAUGUGGAGGAAAUGUUUCAAUGGUUAACAGUGAAAACAAUGACAGCAGUGCAAAUUCUAAUAACCAAGUAGCAAACGGGAUGGGACCUGAAAGUGUCGAGGACCGAGAAAUUAGAACUAGUCAAUUAAAUGGAGACAGUAACUGUGAUUCUGUAUCAGAACAGGAAGUACAUGAGCGUGUGUCACCUUUAAGUCACUGUGAGAAUACAAACCAGUACAACAGUCGCACCUCACCUAUUGACAAAGAUGACCAUUCUAAAAAGGAGGAGUCCUUAUGUCCAGAAGAAACAGAUGAAGAAAGAUGGGCCGAAGGUCCAGAUACAGAAGACAGAUUGGGCAUUGGUCAGAGUCCUGACGCAGGGAAAGAGAAUCAGAAGGCAGUUGUUGACAUAGAGGAGAGGUGUCUGGUAGUUGAUCCAGACACUGUAGAGGAUACAAAAAAUGUUCAAGACCAAUCUAACACAGACAAUAGACAUCAUUGUGGGAAUGUUGUUUCUGAUGAAACGAAGGAAGAAUGUCAUAACGAGAUUGACAGUGAAAAAAGUGAACUUGUAAGGACAUGUAGUGCUAUUAAGGCAGUGGCAGAACGAGAUGUUAACCAUGAGUCCACCAUGAUAACUUUGAAACAUUCUGAUGCCCCAGUAUGUGAUGAAGCUGAGGACGAUAAAACAUUCCAUGAAGUGGAUGACAAUGAAACAGAUUGUGGAGGCACUGAACAAUUGCAAGACAUGAAAGAUUCUGGAUUCGUUUUUGCGGAUUUAAGUUCGUCAGAAGAGGAGAACUGUGAAAAGAAAGAGCAGGAGCCUGAAGCCAAACUCGACGAAAACUGUGAUAUUUCUAAGCAAACUGUCGAUAAUAAUGAAGACUUUAAUGUGAUUGACAAUGAAGAGUGGUGUGAAGAUUCUGUUUCUCCUGGAAGUAAAGAAGUACAGGCGACUGAGAAUGACAUCAUUAAACCACAACCCUGUCCUGGUUCAGAUGAUGAGUUUGAUGACUUUGCUGACUUCAGUUCAGCUCCUUCAUUCAGUGUACAAGAAGGAUGUGAGGUCAAGUCAGGUGAUGUUUCUGUAAAUGAAAGAUCACCAUCAACAAUUAAUGAACAAAAAUCAGCUGUUCAGGACAUAAACUAUGAAGAUGAGGAAGAAUUUGAUGAUUUUGCAGAUUUUCAUAGCAGUAAACCUGUAGAAUUAGAUAUCCAGCUAUCCAAGCCAUUGCCACAGGAAGUUACAGGUGGCAAUGAAAAAUCAGAAAGUUUGGAUGGUGACUCAGGAAAUUGUAAUAAAGAUGAUGUUGACGAUGAUUCUGAUAGUUUUGCUAAUUUUGGUACAUCGUUUACUUCUAAAUCAAGUGAAAAUAAUUCAGGUACAAGUGCAGUUGUUACUGAUGAGACUAAAUCUGGAUCAGACAGCUUUGCUGCAUUUCCUUCAGCAUCUGCAGCUGAUGGUGAUCAUGACGAUGAAGAUGAUUGGGCAACAUUCCAAGCGCCACCUACACUGGACCAGGUUGGUGCUGGCAGUAAUGACGAUGAGGACUUUGGAGAAUUUGAGGACUUUGACAAUGCUGGAAAACCCAAGGGUUCCUCGACCAGUAGUGCUGGGGACUUUGCCACCUUCAAACAGCCUGAACCAGUAGCGGUAAAGCCAGUAGAAAAGCGUACGUCACGUGAAGUGAUCAACUGUUGUUUUCCUGAAUGUGAUGGGACAGACCUGGAUGACUCUGCAACCAAUAAAAUGCCUCUCCUUCUGGACGACUGUUUUAAUGGGGAUGUGGCUGUGGAGGAUAAAACUACAACUGGACCACUGAUAUGGCUCAAGUUGAAGUCUCCCAAUAGUACCAUAGAGAUAUCCAAGUUGUGGUCUGAUUCUCACAGCAAUGGCAAACUGUUUACCACACUACGCAUAGACACCCGCAAUAUUCUGUUAGGUCACCGGAAGCCAUCAGUUCCCGUGUAUGCUGCCAAUCUGACCCUGCUGGAGCCUACCAAGGGCCCCACACCUCCGUCCGAGACGGCAGACACCAACAAACUUGUGGACAUGACAAAGGUCGAUGACAAGCCAGCCAGUCAGCCAACAGUAAAAGCCUUGAAUUGGAUUUUUUAGUUGUCAAAGAAGCAGAAGCGGUCGCGAAGAUGGGAGAUGAGUGGGAUUGGGUUUUCGACUCCGAGUUGAUGCAUGGCCAGCGUGAU